This 100-nucleotide transfer RNA is filed under the name Sordaria macrospora k-hell. Its description in RNAcentral is "tRNA-Gly". It matches the Rfam family "tRNA". From Rfam's summary of the family: Transfer RNA (tRNA) molecules are approximately 80 nucleotides in length. The record is from RNAcentral. Lineage: Eukaryota; Fungi; Ascomycota; Sordariomycetes; Sordariales; Sordariaceae.
GCGCGGUUAGUGUAGUGGUUUAGCACUCUCGUUUCCCAGUUCUCCCUCAACUGCAGUGGAAGAAUAACGAGGGGCCCGGGUUCGAACCCCGGACUGCGCA